RNAcentral lists this ribosomal RNA (324 nucleotides) under Triticum aestivum (bread wheat). Its description in RNAcentral is "partial small subunit ribosomal RNA". Lineage: Eukaryota; Viridiplantae; Streptophyta; Magnoliopsida; Poales; Poaceae. The record is from RNAcentral.
CUCCAAGUUGUUGGCCUGGCGGCCCUAUGUUGGGCUAUUUGGAAGCUCAGAAACAGAGCUUGUUUUGUGUUUAAGCUUGUAAGAUAUCCCGCUGAAUUUAUUUACUACGCUGUGUCUUUUAUGAAUUAUUGGGCAGCUUUGUAAAAUGAGGGGACUGAAAUGUUGGAACAAGGUGCGAUGACACUCCAGAGAACGGCACUGGUACAGUAUAAGGAUGGCAGGAGGGAGGGAGGAAAUGGCGCCUUGAUGAUCAUGGGAGAUGAUGGUUCAAGCAAUGAAUAUGAUGCAGAAGCUACGCGCAAGAUAUGGAGCAAGACUAAGUAA